Raphanus sativus (radish) is the source of this 2086-nucleotide long non-coding RNA. RefSeq lists it as uncharacterized. The transcript has 4 exons. Lineage: Eukaryota; Viridiplantae; Streptophyta; Magnoliopsida; Brassicales; Brassicaceae. The record is from RefSeq and is a predicted model, not a curated record.
GUUUGUUUAAGAUUUCUGAACGCCGAGUCGUCUCUUUCUUUCUUUCGAUCACCCUUAACGCCACGCCGUCGUCUGUCGACUGUCGUGCAAGAGAAAAUGGGAUUUCUUGGUAUGGUUGGAUACGCAACCCGUGUUGUUGCAGGAGCAAGCUGUGGAUGGGUCCUUGGAAUCAUUACGCUCAAAUAUCAGUUCUUAGGGAAUGAAGAGAAAAAGUUGAAGCCAAAAGAAGAUGUGGUGAAUAAUUAGCGUAUGGUCUAAGAUUAUUAGGGUUGCUAUUAUAGUAUUAUGUAUGUUUCUUCUGACUAUGCUUUGGUAUUAUGUUAUCCUUUUUGCUAAUAAAAAAAGAAGGUGCAUCAGUUGUAAUGACGAUAAAUGAUAUGAAAUUAGCUGUUUCGACGCAUUAGAUAUCUCAAAGUUGAUCACUUUUUGAUUCGCUCGUUUUGGUACAACAUCUGCAGUUUUGGUAUUGGUUUAAGCUUUUACCUGAUUUUUCAAACAACUUAUGAGUUUUGAUAAAACGCUCUCAUUAAACGAUCCAAGUUCUGCAAGUAAUUGACCAUUCUUCUUUGGAGAAUGAAACGUUAAUGGCUGCUGCUUAAAAGGAUCUGAUCUUCUUUGAGCCCUUCUCUAUAAGCUACGUCUAACUUUUUUUUUUUUUAUUAUAACUGAAGUUACUGAUGGUCUACUAGGUCUGGUUAAAAGAAUCUUCAUUUUUAGUAAUCCUGUCACAAAAAUAUUUCAAAUCAAUAUUACUACAUCAACUCGUAAUUAACAAGACUAACAACAAAUCCAACUGAUACAUACUUUACCAACUUGUUUCUUUGGAAAUUUAUCAUCUCCAUCAACUCUUGUCUUCUUCCACAAAUUCUCAAAUCUGUGAAAAAUAAUAAAAAAAUAUAUGUGUGUGCUUAUUUGCGCAAUACAUUAUUAACAUGUUUGUCUACUUCAAGGACUCUUUCCUCGAGUCAAACCAAUGUAGUUCCCACAAGCAGCCUCACUUCAAAACUCACUACUUUUAACUUUGAAAUUUUUAUUAGGCAGCUGGCCUUUUGUUUCUAAAAAAGGCCUAGAGACCCAGAUAGUUUUUGAGCCCCCUUUAACUGCACGAGAACCGUAGUAGUAUACCAUACCUUAAAUAAUUUUUUUUGUUCUCAUAUCUCAUCGUUUGAGAUAAGAAGAUAUGAAUCCUAUUUUUGUGAGAACAAUUGCCAGAUCCGUGUCUGGAACCAUCGGCAAAGGUGGCAUGAUGACUCCUGGCCCGCAAUUUUGCGGGUUUAUAAAAUGGAGGCCCAGUCCCGCCCCGCAGCAAGUCUUUACGGGUCAGGUCCGCGGUCCAGGUCCUUGAUUGCCAUCCCUAAAACUGAGUGGAUAGAAUGAAGAACAUAGAGAAAAGAGAGAAAAAGAGCUGAUGGAGAACAUAGGGGAACAUAGAGAAAAGCAAAAGAUUAAAAUCUAAAAUUGUAUGUAUUUUUAAUUAGGCUGUUAUUUAAAAUUUAAUCGUGAGAAAAAUUACACCAAUAACGUAAAAAGGUCGGAAGGGAUAGGCCCGAAUAUGUGUCCGGGCCCGUGUGGGGGUGGUGGUUAAAAUUAAGGGUUCUAUCUCCGUCUUUAACGUCGUGCCGCGUGAGUCUAUCUUCCUCAGAAUUCAUCUACAUCUCGUGCAAUGGAAUCCAUCAUGAAUCAAGUGAGCUCCAAGAUCCGCACGUUUUCUACAUCUAAGGUGGUGACUUCCAAGCCCGUGUUCUGGCCUUCAAUGGCUGGUGCCUAUGCCAUUUAUGGCUAUUGGGUGUAUUUCCAGAUGGAAAGGCGUGCGUUAGAGGAAAAAAAAACUUGAUGUGUUGUCUCUUGUUCUAGGUCUUGUUCUAAAGGAAGCUUAAUGUGUUGUCUCUUGUUCUAGGUCGUGUCCUAAAAGAAGCUUGAUGUGUUGUCUCUUUUUCUAGUUCUUGUUCUCUCUUUGUUCUCUCUAUUGUGUUUCACUUCUGUGGUUAAAAGAGUGACCUUUAAUUUUUGGAUACUUUUGGAUGUAUUAUCUAGGUCGCAACUUUAAUCGAUCUUUAAUAUUAUUUGGAUACUUUUGGAUGUGUUA